This is a long non-coding RNA of Prinia subflava (tawny-flanked prinia), 904 nucleotides long. RefSeq lists it as uncharacterized. The record is from RefSeq and is a predicted model, not a curated record. Lineage: Eukaryota; Metazoa; Chordata; Aves; Passeriformes; Cisticolidae. The transcript has 3 exons.
GCGGAGGGGAGAUUUCGGUCGUGGGAGCGGGAGGCAGAGACAAGGACUCGCAAAGGCUAAAGGCGAAUUCUCUCCAAAAUCUCCAUCUGAAACACCGAAAACUGAAAACUGCAGCUACGGUCUGCCUGGGACCGUUGGCUGUCUGGAGAGGGGGAAAUAAAGCCAGCCCGAGGGGGAAGGAGAGGGUGCUCCCCCAAAGUCCAAGCGGUUAUAACACUUCAAGGGCUUUGAACGGUGCUGAUCCAGUGUUUGGGCAAUUUUACCGAGCCCGCUCGGCAUCCCUCACCCUCCGGUCCCCGCCACCGCGAAGUCCCGCUCCACCCGGGGGCAGCGGAACGCGCCGGGCGGUGCCGGGCGAACGCACGAUCGGGGUGGGGAGAAACUGCCCCGGGAUGAGGGGAGAGGGGCCGAGCGUCCGCUCCGCUCCCUCCUCGCCUUCGGGAGGGAUGCUCGGCUUCGGCGGGGACGGCGGGAAAUUCACAACAGCACCCUGCAAAACCAUUUCUCUGGGAAGACGUGGAGUGUCUCAAGUCAGCUGGGCACAGCUCACAAGCAGCAUUCUGAAGCCAAGUGAUUCUUCCUGUAAACAGAAAUGGUUUGCAGGAGCCUGAUUUGGGAGGACAUGACGGCACCGGAGUUUCUCCCACUCAGAAGUCUGGAGACGUGAGUAUUUCCACCCGUGGAUCUGCUGGAAGCACAAAAGACUCAUCUGGUGACAAAAGACACAUCUCUUUUGGGGCUGGUGGACUUCCCACUUAUCCAGAAUGAGUUUGCACAACAAGGGACCAUUAGUGUCCACAAAACUCUUUGACAGCAGAACAUUCUGUUAAUCUUCUUAUGACGUUAUCAGAGGAAACACUGCACACAGCUAUGUAUAUCCAUUAAAGUCUAUUAUUUCAGCUCA